GGGCGGGUGGCGGAAUAGGCAGACGCCCGAGACUUAAAAUCUCGUGGUCCUUUGGGACCGUGAGGGUUCGAGUCCCUCCCCGCCCA
Non-coding RNA from Candidatus Omnitrophica bacterium 4484_70.2, 86 nucleotides. Lineage: Bacteria; Pseudomonadati; Candidatus Omnitrophota. The record is from Rfam.